AGGCCGGGGGGAUCCGCUACAGAUCGGCACGUUCAGCGGCAAGUGCCUGGCCUUCCUUUGCCCCCCUUUCGUUUGAAGAGAGGAGAAGAAACACACACGCCCCAAAAGGCUCGAUCGUCUCCGGAGAACUCCCCCUAAGAAAGCCUACAAAGGAGAAUAAAAACUGCCAUAUAAAAAUGCUCUAUUGGUCUUCGUAGUUCAAUAGCAUAUUUACAACCAUGACUAAUACUGGAUGCUUCAGAGAGGGAAUAAACUCCAUACUACACCUAUGUGUGCAAUAUCAUCACAAAACAUUUUUUCUGAUUCCAGUUGAUCAGCUUAUGCUGUAAAGAACAAAGACAGAGAGACUUUUUCAUUUUAUUCUGGACAUUGUUACUAUUUUUAUUGUCUUUUAUGUUUUGAAUUUAUUUUUUAUUAAUUUAUGAUAAUGUAAUAUUUUUACAUAAUUCCUUUCACCCAGAAGUGCCUUACAAAUGAAUUGCAGUCCCUAUACACCUGGGUUGGAAUAGGGCAAUUGUUAAACACCACGCACAGUAAUGGUGCUCAAUAGUGCUCAAACAGGAAGUAAAAAAUUUAGAGCUGAAUCUGACCCCUAGUCUUUAUAACCAGGGUCUGGUCCUACAAAUACUAAAGCCCCUGAAUAAUUUUAUUCAUGUGAGUAGUCCCACUGUGUAAUUCAUUGUAGGAUCAGACCUUGAUAAUGGACUGUAACUAAUAUUAGAAAGAUAUUGCAUUGAAAAACUAAGUAUCAACUACUGGUUCAGUAGUAAUAAGGUGUAGAGCGAGUCCAAAUGGAACUACUCACACGCUAUUAACUCAACUCACUGUGUUACUCACAUGUUUCAAUGUUCUCAGGAUCAGGCCCAUUCAUUUCUUCUUUGAAGAGAUUACUGUGGUGAUGGGCUAUGACUUUUUUUUUUUUUUUAAUGUCAUGAGUUGCUUUCUCUUUGUUUUUUCCUUUGGAGCAAUUGCUAUGAUAUUAGUUUAAUAUGCACUUGAUAAUAAGUCCUUUACUUUGUUUGUGAUAAGAAGUUUCAUAUAUUAAAAUCCAUUUGUGGAUUGGUCAAUAAAUACAGAAAAUUUUCACGCU
Molecule: long non-coding RNA, 1090 nt
Organism: Dermochelys coriacea (leatherback sea turtle)
Lineage: Eukaryota; Metazoa; Chordata; Testudines; Dermochelyidae
Exons: 2
Source: RefSeq, a predicted model, not a curated record